UUUGAAAACAAAAAUGGCGCUUUGGAACGAUAUGUCACCGUUGAUGUUCAUUGCUAUUUUCCAGAGUUUAUUUAGUUAUUCUAUGCUUUUAUACCUUUAGCAUUGCAUAAAUGUACAUAUUAUGAUCUGUAAUGUUAUAUAGUAUAGCUUCUCAAGUUUUUAACUAACUAGUUUCUUAAUAAUUUAUAAAUUUGCAGGUUGAUAGGUUAGAAAAAUGAUAAAUCAAGCCGGAGUUGAAGCUUUAUAUUCGGCAACUUAUGUUGAAAAUUACCUGGACUGUGUAGAAAAUCUACCAGAUGAUCUUCAAAGACAAUUGUCUCGUAUGCGAGAGUUGGAUAUUUCUUAUCAAGCAUUCUUGAAAGAAGUGGAAUCACAACAGGACGCGUUGCGCAACCACAGUGACAACCAUCUGCGACGAAAGGCGCUGCACAGAGUGCAGACUGCGCUGAUUUCGGCCCAAGAAGUCGGAGACGAGAAGUUGCAACUGGCACAAGCCGUACAGGACUUAAUCGAAAACAAAUCCAGGCAGUUGGACAUCGAUUACAAAAAUCUUGUUUCGUUUUCGGACCACGGCAAGGAGCAGGAGAACAGCGAACCAGUUGCCAAAGAUACGCAACAAAAGGAGAACACCACAAAAGAGUAUGAGGGCUCCGGCGGCGGUGGCGGAGGAAGUGGUGGUGGAGGAGGUGGUGGCGGUGGGGGAGGGGUUGGAGAGAGGGAGCGCGGCGAGAGGGGCGGGUCGGGAAACUCAGGUGGUGGGGGUAAUUCGGGCAGCGGAGGGGCAAGCGAACAGCGACAGAACAAGCGGCCUCGGCGCAGUCGCGUGGAGACGGACGAAGUGGCGGUUGCGCCCGUGGCCGCCGAGCCGGCGCUCACCCCUCUGCCUCGCAUCUCUGCCACGGUCGCCACCAAGAAGGGCGCCACCGUCAAGAAGAAGAAGCGCAAAACGAAGCAAACAGUCCAGCAGCGCGAGGAGACACCGCCCCGUGAGGACGAGAUCCCGAUCGACCCCGACGAGCCGACCUACUGUCUCUGCGACCAGAUCUCCUACGGCGAGAUGAUUCUCUGCGACAACGACCUCUGUCCCAUCGAGUGGUUCCACUUUUCGUGUGUGGCGCUCGCCACAAAGCCCAAGGGCAAGUGGUACUGUCCCAAGUGCCGCGGCGACCGGCCCAACCUCAUGAAGCCCAAGGCACAGUUCCUCAAAGAACUCGAGCGCUACAACAAGGAGAAAGAGGAAAAGUCUUAGAACCUAACUCAACCUAGCUUUCACUCAACACUCGUUUCAUAGUGACACAGUCAAACCAUACAGAAAAGAUACCAUUAUGCUGCAUUAAAGGGGUUCAUUCAACAAAUACCAAGCUCGUUUCAUAGUGACACAGUCAAACCAUACAGAAAAGAUACCAUUAUGCUGCAUUAAAGGGGUUCAUUCAACAAAUACCAAGCUCGUUUCAUAGUGACACAGUAAAACCAUACAGAAAAGAUACCAUAAUGCUGCAUUAAAGGGG
This 1508-nucleotide unclassified non-coding RNA is filed under the name Nilaparvata lugens (brown planthopper). RNAcentral's name for it is "inhibitor of growth protein 1, transcript variant X1". The record is from RNAcentral. Lineage: Eukaryota; Metazoa; Arthropoda; Insecta; Hemiptera; Delphacidae.